CAGAGGGUGCGAGCGUUAAUCGGAAUUACUGGGCGUAAAGCGUGCGUAGACGGCUAUCUAAGUCGGGUGUGAAAGCCCCGGGCUCAACCUGGGAAUUGCAUUCGAGACUGAAUAGCUAGGGUACGGUAGAGGGAAGUGGAAUUUCCGGUGUAGCGGUGAAAUGCGUAGAUAUCGGAAGGAACAUCAGUGGCGAAAGCGACUUCCUGGACCAGUACCGACGUUCAGGCACGAAAGCGUGGGGAGCAAACAGGAUUAGAUACCCUGGUAGUCCACGCCAUAAACGAUGAGGACUAGACGUUGGAAGGGUAAGCCUUUCAGUGUCGUAGCUAACGCGCUAAGUCCUCCGCCUGGGGAGUACGGCCGCAAGGUUG
Molecule: ribosomal RNA, 371 nt
Filed under: uncultured organism
Description: bacterial SSU rRNA
Rfam family: Bacterial small subunit ribosomal RNA
Source: RNAcentral